GUGCCAGCAGCUGCGGUAAUACGUAGGGGUCGAGCGUUGUCCGGAGUUACUGGGCGUAAAGCGCAUGCAGGCGGCUCAUUACGCACGGCGUGAAAGCCCCCGGCUCAACCGGGGAGGGUCGUCGUGUACGGGUGAGCUUGAGGGUAUCAGGGGCUGGUGGAAUUCCGGGUGUAGUGGUGAAAUGCGUAGAGAUCGGGAGGAACACCUGUGGCGAAGGCGGCCAGCUGGGAUACACCUGACGCUGAGAUGCGAAGGCGUGGGGAGCGAACGGGAUUAGAUACCCCCGGUAGUCCACGCAGUAAACGAUGCAGACUAGGCGUGGGAGGACUUGACCCCCUUCGUGCCGGAGCGAACGCGAUAAGUCUGCCGCCUGGGGAUACGGUCGCAAGACUAAAACUCAAAGGAUUGACGGGGCCCGCACAAGCGGCGGAGCGUGUUCUUUAAUUCGUCGCAACGCGAAGAA
Molecule: ribosomal RNA, 463 nt
Filed under: uncultured Sphaerobacter sp.
Lineage: Bacteria; Pseudomonadati; Thermomicrobiota; Thermomicrobia; Sphaerobacterales; Sphaerobacteraceae
Description: bacterial SSU rRNA
Rfam family: Bacterial small subunit ribosomal RNA
Source: RNAcentral